GGGGUUGAAAGCUCCGGCGGUGAAGGAUGAGCCCGCGGCCUAUCAGCUUGUUGGUGGGGUAAUGGCCUACCAAGGCGACGACGGGUAGCCGGCCUGAGAGGGCGACCGGCCACACUGGGACUGAGACACGGCCCAGACUCCUACGGGAGGCAGCAGUGGGGAAUAUUGCACAAUGGGCGAAAGCCUGAUGCAGCGACGCCGCGUGAGGGAUGACGGCCUUCGGGUUGUAAACCUCUUUCAGCAGGGAAGAAGCGCAAGUGACGGUACCUGCAGAAGAAGCGCCGGCUAACU
This 291-nucleotide ribosomal RNA is filed under the name Streptomyces cavourensis. RNAcentral's name for it is "partial 16S ribosomal RNA". It matches the Rfam family "Bacterial small subunit ribosomal RNA", at positions 196 to 502 of the family's 1533-position model. Lineage: Bacteria; Bacillati; Actinomycetota; Actinomycetes; Kitasatosporales; Streptomycetaceae. The record is from RNAcentral.